Molecule: non-coding RNA, 874 nt
Organism: Cyanistes caeruleus (blue tit)
Lineage: Eukaryota; Metazoa; Chordata; Aves; Passeriformes; Paridae
Source: RefSeq, a predicted model, not a curated record
AAAAAAAAAAAAAUCAUUGACAAAACAGACAUCAGUUAUGCCAAAUGCAACACUUCCAAAUUUACCAGAUCAGUGUGACCCUAGUGCAGGUAAUUUUGAUCCUAUCUAUUAACACACAUAGUGGCUUGAAGAAUGACGAAAAUUGAAAAGUCUACUGUCAUUUUAACAUUGAGACUUCAUUUUACAUGUAGUUACAGAAAUUAUGUUAAACAGCAUUAAUGCAGGCCAAGGGUUUGUGUUUUUAGCUUCUUGGUGUUAGGGAGCUGGAUCUCUGCCUAUCCACUACACACAUUGCCAUGACACAUACUGCAGAAUGGUGUUGGCUGCAACAAAAAAAAUUUAGGUAGAGUUUCAAGACAAUGCUUCUUAAAUUGGUAUAAUGAAAUCAUACUUUCCAACGGAGGACUUUAAAGCGCUUUCAAAAGCUUAUCAAAUACCUGUUUAAAAAUUCCACAUUUAUGGGCAGACCACAAUCACAAAAGUGCAUCACUUUGCUUGUAUACCCAAGACAGGAACUGAAAUGCAGAAUACACUGACACACCUGAUACAAAUGAAGUGUUCCAGCAAGAGGCCAAGAAACUAAAAGAUGUUGUAGGUAAUAAGUUGUUCCUGCCAACAUGAAUUAGAAAACUGACCACAACUUCACAAUCUGGAACAACUGGAAAAUACAGACAUUUCCAUGUCUUAGCUGCACAGAUCAAUUCCACAAUUCAUGAUAAGUAUUUCCAUAACUUAGCUUUUCCUUCUCAAAUCUGCAUGUCUAUUUUGCUAUUAUUUUGUCUUCUGUAGUUAUUUGAUAGUUAGCAAUUGUAUUUCAUCUCAAUUUCCUUUGCAAAUAAAUGUACUUGAUUUAUUAAAACUCUCUCUUUGUCUG